GAUCCUGGCUCAGGAUGAACGCUGGCGGCGUGCUUAACACAUGCAAGUCGAGCGAAGCGGUUUCAAUGAAGUUUUCGGAUGGAAUUGAAAUUGACUUAGCGGCGGACGGGUGAGUAACGCGUGGGUAACCUGCCUUACACUGGGGGAUAACAGUUAGAAAUGACUGCUAAUACCGCAUAAGCGCACAGGGCCGCAUGGUCUGGUGUGAAAAACUCCGGCGGUGUAAGAUGACCGCGU
Molecule: ribosomal RNA, 237 nt
Filed under: uncultured bacterium
Lineage: Bacteria
Description: partial 16S ribosomal RNA
Rfam family: Bacterial small subunit ribosomal RNA
Source: RNAcentral